Populus trichocarpa (black cottonwood) is the source of this 680-nucleotide long non-coding RNA. RefSeq lists it as uncharacterized. Lineage: Eukaryota; Viridiplantae; Streptophyta; Magnoliopsida; Malpighiales; Salicaceae. The transcript is spliced from 2 exons. The record is from RefSeq and is a predicted model, not a curated record.
UUGAUCAUUCAAUUUCAAAGAACGCAAAGGGAUGAAGAGCUGGCGUACCUGCUUCUGGAGUGGCGAAGAGGCUGCAACGGUGGUGGUGACUUUCGUUCAACUGCUUUCCUUUAUCUCCCCGCUGUGUGCACUGUUCUCUCUUCUUCUCAGUUCUUGAGGGACGAAGACAAUAACAAGGCUAAUUCUUGUCUCUGUGUUGCUACUCCCUUUUCUCUCCUUCUCUAUGUGAAUUUGUUCUUUUUUGUUGUCCCCUCUGGCCUCUGCCUCUUUUUUUUCCCUGUGUAUUAUUUCUUUCUCUGGGUUUUUGCUUUGUUUUUGCUCUGGUUCUGCUUCUGUUUUUUUUUUUUUUGCUCUCUGGUUUUCAGUCCCCUGUUCUGGGUUUUCUUCUCCCUUUUAUAGAGAAGCUUGCCCCUCAACCAGUCCUGCCUUUGCAGGACUGUUAUGGAAUCCACGAACGAGAUCAUGGGCAAGAGACGUGGUCCAUGAUCGGAUUUGUUGCAGAUUUUCAGGUCUCCGGUUGAAUCGGGAUGAAGAAGACCACAUGGCUGUUCCACUAGCAACGACGACGUUUCGGCAGAAAGUGAUAUUUUUAUUUUGACCCCUGCUUUCUUUGGAAAUUUGACAGUUGGACCUCAAUUAAAAUCCCUUUUAAUUUUACCAUUGGAUUAAUUUCAAUUAAA